CGGACCGGUCAGACAGUCGCUGGCAGUGCUUUUCCCUGAAGGGCCUGCUGGAGGAAAGUCCGGGCUCCAAAGGGCAGGGUGCCAGGUAACGCCUGGGGACUUUACUGGCGACGGUAAAGUUACGGCUAGUGCCACAGAGAAGAUACCGCCGGUUCCUUCUUCGGAGGGUUCAGGUAAGGGUGAAAAGGUGCGGUAAGAGCGCACCGCGCCGCUGGUAACAGCGGUGGCAGGGUAAACCCCACCCGGAGCAAGACCAAAUAGGGAUCCUAUGGCGUGGCCCGCGCUGGAUCCGGGUAGGU
RNAcentral lists this RNase P RNA (299 nucleotides) under Alcanivorax sp. RNAcentral describes it as "partial RNase P RNA component class A". It matches the Rfam family "Bacterial RNase P class A", at positions 1 to 276 of the family's 367-position model. From Rfam's summary of the family: Ribonuclease P (RNase P) is a ubiquitous endoribonuclease, found in archaea, bacteria and eukarya as well as chloroplasts and mitochondria. Its best characterised activity is the generation of mature 5'-ends of tRNAs by cleaving the 5'-leader elements of precursor-tRNAs. Lineage: Bacteria; Pseudomonadati; Pseudomonadota; Gammaproteobacteria; Oceanospirillales; Alcanivoracaceae. The record is from RNAcentral.